Podarcis lilfordi (Lilford's wall lizard) is the source of this 76-nucleotide non-coding RNA. NCBI's taxonomy places the organism in Eukaryota, Metazoa, Chordata, Lepidosauria, Squamata, Lacertidae. The record is from the annotation of a GenBank genome assembly.
GGGGAGGGCCAUAGCUCUGUGGUAGAGCAUUUGCUUUGCAUGCAGAAAAUCCCGGGUUCCGUCCCUGGCCUCUCCG